UACGUAGGGUGCAAGCGUUGUCCGGAAUUAUUGGGCGUAAAGAGCUCGUAGGCGGUCUGUCGCGUCGAAUGUGAAAACCCGGGGCUCAACCCCGGGCCUGCAUUCGAUACGGGCAGACUAGAGUUCGGUAGGGGAGUCUGGAAUUCCUGGUGUAGCGGUGAAAUGCGCAGAUAUCAGGAGGAACACCGGUGGCGAAGGCGGGUCUCUGGGCAACAACUGACGCUGAGGAGCGAAAGCGUGGGGAGCGAACAGG
This 253-nucleotide ribosomal RNA is filed under the name uncultured bacterium. RNAcentral's name for it is "partial 16S ribosomal RNA". It matches the Rfam family "Bacterial small subunit ribosomal RNA", at positions 524 to 776 of the family's 1533-position model. The record is from RNAcentral.